AACAACAUCCUGGUGCUGCCUGAGUCACUUUCACAAACUCCAGCAUCAGUGAUUUUGUUGC
RNAcentral lists this microRNA precursor (61 nucleotides) under Tetraodon nigroviridis (spotted green pufferfish). Its description in RNAcentral is "Tni-Mir-338-P2a_pre stem-loop". It matches the Rfam family "mir-338 microRNA precursor family", at positions 6 to 65 of the family's 69-position model. Lineage: Eukaryota; Metazoa; Chordata; Actinopteri; Tetraodontiformes; Tetraodontidae. The record is from RNAcentral.